This 255-nucleotide ribosomal RNA is filed under the name uncultured bacterium. RNAcentral describes it as "partial 16S ribosomal RNA". It matches the Rfam family "Bacterial small subunit ribosomal RNA", at positions 524 to 776 of the family's 1533-position model. The record is from RNAcentral.
UACGUAGGGGGCAAGCGUUGUCCGGAUUUAUUGGGCGUAAAGAGCGUGUAGGCGGCCAGAUAGGUCAGCUGUGAAAACUCGAGGCUCAACCUCGAGACGUCGGUUGAAACCAUCUGGCUAGAGUCCGGAAGAGGAGAGUGGAAUUCCCGGUGUAGCGGUGGAAUGCGUAGAGAUCCGGGAAGAACGACCGGUGGCGAAGGCGGUCUGCUGGGGUGAGGCUGACGCUGAUGCGCGACAGCGUGGGGAGCAAACAGG